This 127-nucleotide ribosomal RNA is filed under the name Klebsiella pneumoniae. RNAcentral describes it as "partial 16S ribosomal RNA". It matches the Rfam family "Bacterial small subunit ribosomal RNA", at positions 1 to 118 of the family's 1533-position model. RNAcentral also lists the same sequence under 4 other names. The record is from RNAcentral. Lineage: Bacteria; Pseudomonadati; Pseudomonadota; Gammaproteobacteria; Enterobacterales; Enterobacteriaceae.
ACUUAAAUUGAAGAGUUUGAUCAUGGCUCAGAUUGAACGCUGGCGGCAGGCCUAACACAUGCAAGUCGAGCGGUAGCACAGAGAGCUUGCUCUCGGGUGACGAGCGGCGGACGGGUGAGUAAUGUCU